GACGAACGCUGGCGGCGUGCUUAACACAUGCAAGUCGAGCGGUAAGGCCCUUUCGGGGGUACACGAGCGGCGAACGGGUGAGUAACAGGUGGGUGACCUGCCCUCAGCUCUGGGAUAAGCCUGGGAAACUGGGUCUAAUACCGGAUAUGACUCCAUGACGCAUGUUGGUGGGGUGGAAAGCCUUGUGCGGCUGAGGAUGGGCCCGCGGCCUAUCAGCUUGUUGGUGGGGUGAGGCCUACCAAGGCGACGACGGGUAGCCGGCCUGAGAGGGCGACCGGCCACACUGGGACUGAGACACGGCCCAGACUCCUACGGGAGGCAGCAGUGGGGAAUCUUGCGCAAUGGGCGAAAGCCUGACGCAGCGACGCCGCGUGAGGGAUGACGGCCUCGG
This 391-nucleotide ribosomal RNA is filed under the name uncultured bacterium. RNAcentral describes it as "bacterial SSU rRNA". It matches the Rfam family "Bacterial small subunit ribosomal RNA", at positions 28 to 420 of the family's 1533-position model. The record is from RNAcentral.